AUGGAGCUGCCGCCGCUCAAGCUCAACGUCGCCCGAGGCGAGGAGGACAGGAUCAGCGCACUUCCCGACGAGCUCCUCCUCCGGAUCCUCGAGCGGCUCGGCCUGCGCCGGGCGGUCCGCGCCGGCACGGUCUCCAAGCGGUGGCGGCACCUCCCUCACCAGCUCUCGUUCGUGACACUCGACGUCCGCUGCUUCCGCCGCGCCACGCUGGGCGAAACCAUGGACGCCUUCACGGCCGCUUUGACGUCCGUCUGUGCUCAGCGCAACUGCGAGUGCCAGCGCGGCCGUGUCAUGGCCAUGAAGGCCAUCUGCCUCCGCUUCUUCCUGUCGGCCUCUCAUCUGAGCUCCAUCGGCAGCGCCGUCGAGGAUGUCGUCAGCCAUGGCAAGACCAGACGCCUCGCCUUCCAAGUAUCCCCGCCCCCCGGGGUGAACUCCUUCCCGCAGAUCCCCGAGAUGGGGCAGCAAUUCAUGUCCUUCUCCCGCGCCCACCAGCCGGCCUUCCAGUGCCUCACCAGGCUACGCCUCAAGAGCCUUGCGUUCGGGAACUCUGACGUCGCCGCCCUCAUCGCUGCCUCCGAUAAGCUCGAGCAUCUCAACAUGAACUCCUGCGGACUGGUCGAUCAGCGCCACGUGCUAAAGAUUGACACACCGUGUUCUGUGAUCCAGGAGCUCGAGUUUAAGCGCUUUCAUUGCAAGCGCAUCCACCUCAUCUCCGUCCCCAGGCUCAGGACGGUGCUGUGCCAUUCUUGGCGCUCCAACAACCCUCCGAUGCGCUUUGGCUACGUUCCACAGCUUCGUCAAGUCAACCUCGCCUGUAAGGCCAAGGCGUGGCAGGUGUCAUUCCUGCUCAGCCGGUGCUUCUCAAGGAGGAGUGCAAAUAACCUGUUGAAAUUGCAUCUCAAUUUUCGCCACCAAAUGAUAUGGAUUCGGCCGGAACAUCCCAAGCAUCUCACUGCCAUAUUCAGAAAUCUGGCCGAAGUGUCUUUUUCUGGUAUCUUCCCUGAGUGUGAUCUGAGCUGGACCCUAUUUAUCCUCCAAGUUGCACCUGCCCUGCACAAGUUUACAUUAUCUCGAGAGCGGCAUGCAUGUGACAUACCGUCUGAGGACAGUGCUGACAAGACCAACGUGGUGUGGGAACCAUCCAAGGAUUUGAAGCACCUAAAGUUGAAGUUGCUCCGGAUGUACGGUUUUGAGGAUGAAGACAAGGUGACAAACUACAUAAGGCUAGUCAUGGAGCGAGCUGUGGGGCUGAAGAGAAUCGAGUUGCGUGGUGAAGUCCCAUGCGAGAAAUGCGAUGCCAUUUACCCAAGGAGAUCCCAGGUGGAUAAAGGUCGCAGGCGUCGGAUCAAGGAGCGACUCACACAUGAAUCCUCCUCGAACAUGGGGAUGAUAAUGCUCGUAGCAGCUAUGCCCGCGCGAUAG
Molecule: ribosomal RNA, 1422 nt
Filed under: Triticum aestivum (bread wheat)
Lineage: Eukaryota; Viridiplantae; Streptophyta; Magnoliopsida; Poales; Poaceae
Description: partial small subunit ribosomal RNA
Source: RNAcentral